AACAAGGGUUGUCCAAGGGGAGGCAAGUUUACGAAGCUCACGGGUGCCAGGGCUGGGAUGGGAAGCUAGGUGGCUGGCUGCAGAGCCCACACUCUUACCGCAACGCUAGGCCAUCCUUGCAGCUGGAGAACAUGUUGCCUGAGCCUGCAAGCUGAGCGUUUUAUGCACGCACAUAACCGCUUGCCCGAGGCCGCUCAGCCGGCAAGGGGCAGCGGGCAGAGUUCAGUCCUUGGGUGUCCGGCCCCGAAGCCCACCUCCCUCUCAGCAGGGGCACUGCCUCUGGACACGUGCAGGCAAGUCAGUACCGCCGAGAUCGACGGUAAUGGUGCACGUGAGCGUGAGAGGCAGGGCACUGCAGGGCGACCACAGGAGCCGAGGGGGGAUGCGCUUACGAGAGCGUGGGUGCCCGGUCCAGGACACGCAGCUCUGCCCCUUCAGAGCGCUGUGCGUGCAAAGUCACCUCGGUCAUCUGACUCUUUGCGACCCCGUGGACUGCACCCCGCCAGGCUCCUCUGUCCAUGGGAUUCUCCAGGCAAGAAUACUGGAGAGGGUUGCCAUGCCCUCCUCCAGGGGAUCUUCCCCACCCAGGUACGAAGGCAGCCGGCACAGCCAAGCCCUUGUCUCGGGGCUCCCACCUGCCGAGACCAGCCAGCAGGUCGACCUUCCUGCUCACCCUCCGAUCUCUUCCGGCUCAGUCUGGGUUUGACCUCAGCCUCUCCUGUUGCAGUUUAAAUUGGAGCCUGUGUGCAAGUCCCCCUUCAUGGCCGGGGGCUGGGGGUGCAGGGUAGUUGGCCUUCACAGCCCAGCUCCACGCUAUUUGCCCCCCUGGCGGGGACAUCACAAGCCAGACGGAGGACGUUCCCAGCACCGUGCCCUGGUCCGCGCCCCGCAGACCCUGGCCGGGGCACUCCCCAUUAGAUUAAACGGCAUUUACGGCAGCUGUAAGCACGUUUUGAGUUGAUUACCCUAUAAUUUGUAUGCAGUUGCAGGUCAUUACCAAAAUUACAAUUAAACGCAGCACCCUGUAAUUAGAUGUUUUCAUGAAUUAGGUCCUGCGGUAUUAAUGUCAGAUUUCCACGCUGUGCUCCUCCCCCGACUCCACUGCCCUGGCCCCUGCCAGCCAGCAGACCAAGUGACCUCUGGGCUCUUCUGAACCCUGGGCUGGCUUCGGUCAGAGGCUCUGCCACGUCCCAGAUGGCCGUCACCGAUGCCUGUGUCUCCUGUCUCCCCGGGGACAGACACGGCUUCCCACAGGCUUACUCGAAGCGGACGGCACGAGUUCAUUCCAUCGUCUUUGCUGAGCACCUUCUAGGCGCAUGAGCGGUGGAAGUGAUGGCAGUGAAUGUAUUAGAUAAACAAACAGAUACCCCAAACCCUGUCUGGCUGGAGCGGAUAGUUGAACAGCAACCGCAGAACUGAUAAUGUGUCUGGGGUGCCUGGUAUGUUGGAGCCACAGUGAAACUGGAGAGGAAGAUGAACGCGAGCUUCAGACGUGAUACCCAGAGGCAGGCUCUCUGAUGCCUGACCUGCAGCCUCUGCGUGUGGGCAUCUUGCAGGAGCAUCACUCACCUGGGAUGUCAGGGCACACAGGCCUGAAGCUGUCUCCUGGGAACUGGCUUCCCUUCACCUCCGAGGCACUCCCCCGAGUCCCCAUCGCCCCGCCAGGCAGGGAAAGGGCGCCUCAGUCUCCCCCACCACCUCCACAGCUGUGCCCAUUCUCCACGGCACACUCUUCCACAUCCCCGAGAGAUGGAGCGUCUCUGGCAGCCCCGCCAGGCUACCGUCCCCUCACUCCAGGCCCAGAACUGGCCUGGCUUCCUGGACGGCAGCUGGCAGGGGCUCAGGGGCAGGGGGAUGAAAGAGACCCGAGUGAGUCCUCGGAGACCCCAGCCUGCCUCCCCAGGCCCUGAGGCAGCUGUGCUCAAACCUGGCACAGCUGGGGUCUAUGGGGCUGCUGUCUGAUACACCCUCCUGCCCCGGGAAACACCCGUCUUCUCCCACCGGACCCUUCAUGGUCUGACUGGUCCCUGUCACUGGACUGCAUGGGAAAGCAGCCUGGAAUCCCUAAAACAGAGGUUUCCGGGGUGCAGACAGCAGAACCACAGGGAGGCACCUGAUGCAGGGCCGUCUUUGGGCACAUC
Bos taurus (domestic cattle) is the source of this 2141-nucleotide long non-coding RNA. The record is from Ensembl. NCBI's taxonomy places the organism in Eukaryota, Metazoa, Chordata, Mammalia, Artiodactyla, Bovidae.